GGAGCUGUGAUGUCUGAUUGGUUAAGGCGUUGCACUUGAAAUCCAAUGGGUGUUAACCGCACAGGUUCAAAUCCUGGAACCAAAUCCA
Merluccius polli (Benguela hake) is the source of this 88-nucleotide non-coding RNA. Lineage: Eukaryota; Metazoa; Chordata; Actinopteri; Gadiformes; Merlucciidae. The record is from the annotation of a GenBank genome assembly.